Long non-coding RNA from Prosopis cineraria, 961 nucleotides. RefSeq lists it as uncharacterized. NCBI's taxonomy places the organism in Eukaryota, Viridiplantae, Streptophyta, Magnoliopsida, Fabales, Fabaceae. The record is from RefSeq and is a predicted model, not a curated record. The transcript is spliced from 2 exons.
ACACUGCAGCUUGCGAGUUGCGAGUCCUCUUCAUCUGAGCCUCUCCUCUCUCUUCAUCUCAGACUUGCAACUCUGCCUCUUCCUCUUCUAGCUCUGGGCCUCAUGAAUCACGAUCUCAACAGCUCAGCCUCUCCCCCUCUGGGCCUCACAAUGUCGGAUCUCAAUCUCUCAAUCUCGACGAGGGAGCCACAGUACUCUGGCUCCUUGGCCCUCGCUCAUGAUUUCAGAUUGUCGGCGUCUUCUCCCUCAUGAUGCUCACUUCUCGGCCAGCUCGAUAUCGGCGACGGUCUCUCGACGGACUCCUCUAGAUAGAGAACCGUGGGGGCUCGUUCUUCCCUCUGCCAUGGAAGAAGUUCAUAUCUUGGACAAUUGAAUGGCUGUUUCACCAAACAGAUAUCAUUGUAGUUGACCAUGGGUGAGCCACACUGCUAAUCUCUUCUGCUUUAUUUGGUGCUAUUUUACAAAAGAAAAAUAAAGAUGCUGCUCUGUUUACAUUUUUACUGUCUGAUAAGAGUUCAGAGAAUUCAGUUUUUGAGAGGAUGUCAUGCUCAUGAUUUCUAAAGUCAAUGAGAACGCAAGCUUCAACACCAUUUUGGAGAAGCAUCUUAAGCCUUGUCCUUGGAAUCAUCAAUUAAGGAAAUUCUGUGAAGAGAAGCUGGAUUGUCUGAAGCUUUUCAUUCGAAAGCAUCCAAAGGUUACUCUUUGUUGCCUUUCAUCCAGUUUGAGUUGUUUGUAGCGGAGUUCGCAUGACUAGUUUAGCUUGUUAAAAAUUUUAGAUCAUGUUAUUUUGCUGUUGACUUUAAUGUGGGGAAUUGUAUUAAAAUUAUUCUAUACACCUCAUAAAUUACAUGUUAUUACAGGACCAAAUUAACCCUUUAAAGAGUUGCACAUGAAAGCUCAUUAGAGAGCAACUAAUAAAUGUAAUCAUUACAGGGACCAAAGUCAAGCUUUGAUUCUGUGA